RNAcentral lists this ribosomal RNA (497 nucleotides) under uncultured bacterium. Its description in RNAcentral is "partial 16S ribosomal RNA". It matches the Rfam family "Bacterial small subunit ribosomal RNA", at positions 28 to 507 of the family's 1533-position model. The record is from RNAcentral.
GAUGAACGCUGGCGGCGUGCCUAAUACAUGCAAGUCGAGCGAACGGACGAGAAGCUUGCUUUUCUGAUGUUAGCGGCGGACGGGUGAGUAACACGUGGAUAACCUACCUAUAAGACUGGGAUAACUUCGGGAAACCGGAGCUAAUACCGGAUAAUAUUUUGAACCGCAUGGUUCAAAAGUGAAAGACGGUCUUGCUGUCACUUAUAGAUGGAUCCGCGCUGCAUUAGCUAGUUGGUAAGGUAACGGCUUACCAAGUCAACGAUGCAUAGCCGACCUGAGAGGGUGAUCGGCCACACUGGAACUGAGACACGGUCCAGACUCCUACGGGAGGCAGCAGUAGGGAAUCUUCCGCAAUGGGCGAAAGCCUGACGGAGCAACGCCGCGUGAGUGAUGAAGGUCUUCGGAUCGUAAAACUCUGUUAUUAGGGAAGAACAUAUGUGUAAGUAACUGUGCACAUCUUGACGGUACCUAAUCAGAAAGCCACGGCUAACUACGUG